This 106-nucleotide non-coding RNA is filed under the name Xanthomonas sp. RNAcentral's name for it is "Glycine sequence". It matches the Rfam family "Glycine riboswitch aptamer". Rfam says of the family: This family represents the bacterial glycine riboswitch. Glycine riboswitches usually consist of two metabolite-binding aptamers domains with similar structures in tandem. The record is from RNAcentral. Lineage: Bacteria; Pseudomonadati; Pseudomonadota; Gammaproteobacteria; Lysobacterales; Lysobacteraceae.
CGGCAACACUCUGGAGAGACCGGACCGCCUGUGGCGCACCCGGCGCCGAAGGGGCACGAAGCGUCCGCGCUUCCAAACUCUCAGGCAAAAGGACAGAGGGGCAUGC